Molecule: ribosomal RNA, 774 nt
Filed under: uncultured bacterium
Lineage: Bacteria
Description: bacterial SSU rRNA
Rfam family: Bacterial small subunit ribosomal RNA
Source: RNAcentral
AGAGUUUGAUCAUGGCUCAGAAUCAACGCUGGCGGCGUGCCUCAGACAUGCAAGUCGAACGAUUAAAGCUCUCUUCGGAGAGUGUAUAGAGUGGCGCACGGGUGAGUAACACGUAAGUAAUCUACCUUCGAGUGGGGAAUAACGUCCGGAAACGGACGCUAAUACCGCAUAAUGCAGCGGCAUCUUAUGAUGACAGUUGUUAAAGGAGCAAUUCGCUUGAAGAGGAGCUUGCGGCAGAUUAGCUAGUUGGUAAGGUAAUGGCUUACCAAGGCUACGAUCUGUAACCGGUCUAAGAGGACGGUCGGUCACACUGACACUGAAUAACGGGUCAGACUCCUACGGGAGGCAGCAGUCGGGAAUUUUGGGCAAUGGGCGAAAGCCUGACCCAGCAACGCCGCGUGAAGGAUGAAGUAUUUCGGUAUGUAAACUUCGAAAGAAUGGGAAGAAUCAAUGACGGUACCAUUUAUAAGGUCCGGCUAACUACGUGCCAGCAGCCGCGGUAAUACGUAGGGACCAAGCGUUGUUCGGAUUUACUGGGCGUAAAGGGCGCGUAGGCGGCUUAACAAGUCACUUGUGAAAUCUCCGGGCUUAACUCGGAACGGCCAAGUGAAACUGUCAAGCUAGAGUGCAGAAGGGGCAAUCGGAAUUCUUGGUGUAGCGGUGAAAUGCAGAUAUCAAGAGGAACACCUGAGGUGAAGACGGGUUGCUGGGCUGACACUGACGCUGAGGCGCGAAAGCCAGGGGAGCAAACGGGAUUAGAUACCCUAGUAGUCC